AUUGAACGCUGGCGGCAGGCCUAACACAUGCAAGUCGAGCGAGCGGCGGACGGGUGAGUAAUGUCUGGGAAACUGCCUGAUGGAGGGGGAUAACUACUGGAAACGGUAGCUAAUACCGCAUACCAUCAGAUGUGCCCAUAUGGGCGUAGCUAGUAGGUGGGGUAACGGCUCACCUAGGCGACGAUCCCUAGCGGGUCUGAGAGGCUGACCAGCCACACUGGGAAUGAGACACGGCCCAAACGCCUACGGGAGGCAGCAGUAGGGAAUAUUGCACAAUGGGCGAAAGUCUGAUGCAGCCAUGCCGCGUGUGUGAAGAAGGCCUUCGGGUUGUAAAGCACUUUCAGCGGGGAGGCGGUACCCGCAGAAGAAGCAACGGCUAACUCCGUGCCAGCAGCCGCGGUAAUUC
Molecule: ribosomal RNA, 406 nt
Filed under: uncultured bacterium
Lineage: Bacteria
Description: partial 16S ribosomal RNA
Rfam family: Bacterial small subunit ribosomal RNA
Source: RNAcentral